This 1929-nucleotide long non-coding RNA is filed under the name Homo sapiens (human). RNAcentral describes it as "HSALNT0032011". Lineage: Eukaryota; Metazoa; Chordata; Mammalia; Primates; Hominidae. The record is from RNAcentral.
GUUUGGCUGAACAUUGGAGUGUUUGGGAGAAAUGGUUAGAGCUGCCAAAAUAUCCCUUGUUUAUAAUCUAGGGCCUUGAAUGUCAACCAAAAUCUGUAAGCUAUUCAGAAAACCAUGGUAAAACAUUAACGGCUGCUGAGCAGGGAAAUGAUAUGAUAAGUGCUGUUUUAGGAAGAUUAUUCUACCUGCUGGCCACAACGGUUAGUUCAGGAUGGUUGACUGAAGAUGUUAGGAGCUCCUAUUCAUUCAUGCAUUCCAUAUUUAUGAAGCAUUUGCUCUGUGCCAGAUACUUGUCUGAGUUCUGGAGACAAAGUAAUGAAUGAGAUAGAUAUGGCUCUUACCUUCGUGGUGGUUAUCUCCUAGUUGAAGAGAAAGAUAAGAAACACAAAAGAUAAAAUGAAAAUAAGUAAGAUAAUCUCAGUUAAUGAGUUCCAUAAAGAAACUACAACAGGAAAGCAAAAUAAAAAGUGAAUGGGAAUUUCUCAGGUUAAUAUUGGGAGGUUGGGUUGAGUGUGAUGUUAGAUAAAGGGUAUCACUUGGUCACUUGGGGGAGGUAACAAUUGAGUUAAAAUUUAAAUGAUAAGAAAGAAAAAUUGUUCUGAGCAGACAAAACAGCAUGGGCAAAAUUUCCAAUUUGGGUCAACACUUAGACUGUUUGAAGUGCAGAAAGCAGGUCAGUGGAACAGGAGCAGAAUAAAUGAUGGCAAAAAAUGAUAAGUGAGGAGGUAUUAACAAUUCCUAGUUUUGCAUUGGUUUUAAAAUUUUAUGACACUGUGGUAGUUAAUUUUAUGUGUCAACUUGACUGGGCCAAGGGGUGCCCAAAUAUUUAGUUAAACAUUAUUCUGGGUGUGUCUCUAAGAGUUUCUGUAUGAGAUUAAGGUGUGAAUUGGUAAACCGAGUAGAGCAGAUGGCCCUCCCCAGUGUGGGUAGGCCUCACGCAAUUAAUUGAAGGAAGAAACACAAUAGUCUCCCCAUUUCUGGGGUGGAUGUCGUCAGUGGAUGCCUCAAACCCUGGAUCAUACCUAAUCCCAUAAACACGGUUUUUUUCCUAUACAGCAACGGGUGUGUUCUAUAUACAGCAUGGUACACUGGAUGAAGGGAUGACUCAUAUCCCAGAUGACGGUUGACUUUGAGUAACAGAAACUACAGAUAAGCGGGGGGACUACUAUAGAAUACAAAGACUGAGCAAGAGAGAAUUCCCCCUCUUUCUGCCUGAGUGCCUUCAAGCUGGGAUAUUGGUCUUCCCCUGUCUUCUGUCUUGUACUUGCACUGGAACUAUACCGUCAGCUUUCCUGGGCCUCCAAGCUUGCUGACAGCAGGUCUUGGCACUUCUCAGCCUCCAAAAUUGUAUGAGCCAAUUCCUAAUAAUAAAUCAUCCUAUUGGUUUUGUUUCUCUGGAGAACUCUCACUAAUACGGACCCUCGUGAAUUACUUCUGUAUUUAGGAAAAAAAAGUUAUAUUUUAAAUGUAAGAAAUAGACUUCAUGCUAAAAAUGAAGGGCACAGAAACUUUGAAAAGAUAUUGGGCAAAUUACUUGGGCAAGUAAUUUUAUUUCAGUUUCCUCAUUGCCAGAUGACAGUAAUAAUAAUCUCUACCUCAUAGGAUAUUGUGAGAUUUAAGCAAUAAAAUGUAUUUGGAACAAUGAUUAAUAUAACAGUGCUGGUUAUCUAUUGUGGUUGCCAAAGAAGAGAAUUAAUAUUGAAUCUUGCUUCCUGGGAGAAAGGAGAGCUGGCCAAAGAAGCCAAGAAAAACAGAAAGCAUAAAAUUUAGAAAAUAAUAGUAUCUUGAAAUCUAAGAAAGACAGAAUACCAAAAAAGGAGCGAUUCGCGAUUUUAAAUGUUGCCGAGAAAGCCAUACCCGGGUUCUUAUUACAACUAACUUCUAUGUACUCUCCUCCAUUGGCAUUCAAAAGUCCUUACUCUACUGUCA